This 456-nucleotide long non-coding RNA is filed under the name Manacus vitellinus (golden-collared manakin). RNAcentral describes it as "lncRNA (ENSMVIG00005018510.1)". The record is from RNAcentral. Lineage: Eukaryota; Metazoa; Chordata; Aves; Passeriformes; Pipridae.
UGGGGCAUCUCCACUGACAGGUAUCUUUCAGGAGCUGCCUUAUCAUGUACCUGUCAUACAGCCAAAGUAGGAGCAACUGUUCAUUCUAAGAUGCAUAAAUCAGCUUUCCAAGAUGAUGCUCAAGGAGAGUGCUGAAGAGCUCUGAAGAGCUUGAAGGUGGCAGGUACGGGGUGGCACACUUGAACUGCUCCUGGCUGCCCUGGAACAUCCCACUGAAGAUAACAUUUAUGGAAAUGCAAGGAAAAGAAUUGCUCCACCUUGCAGGUACAAAACAAGAUGCCACGUUCCUCACAGCAGCCAGAGUUGGCGUGGAUGAACAGCUCUCCCAGAGGGACCUGCUUCCCUGUGGGAAGAUGCUGCCCAGGACAGUAACGUUUCUGCUACUAGAGCUGAGGAACAGAUGGAAAGGUUGGAAAGGUUGUCUCCUACUGUGCUUGAUACAGCCCCACAGCUGGA